UAAGACGAAGGAUGCAAGCGUUAUCCGGAUUCAUUGGGUUUAAAGGGAGCGUAGGUGGCUUUGUAAGUCAGUGGUGAAAUCUUCUCGCUUAACGAGAAAACUGCCAUUGAUACUGCAGAGCUUGAGUACAGUUGCCGUUGGCGGAAUAUGACAUGUAGUGGUGAAAUACAUAGAGAUGUCAUAGAACACCGAUUGCGAAGGCAGCUAACGAAACUGUAACUGACACUGAGGCUCGAAAGUGCGGGGAUCAAACAGGAUUAGAUACCCUGGUAGUCCGCACUGUAAACGAUGAUUACUCGCUGCUGGAGGGCAACUUUCAGUGGCUUAGCGAAAGCGAUAAGUAAUCCACCUGGGGAGUACGCCGGCAACGGUG
RNAcentral lists this ribosomal RNA (373 nucleotides) under uncultured bacterium. Its description in RNAcentral is "bacterial SSU rRNA". It matches the Rfam family "Bacterial small subunit ribosomal RNA", at positions 521 to 896 of the family's 1533-position model. The record is from RNAcentral.